UCUUCUCUAUCAAAAAAGAAAGAAACUCAGUUCUCUUUCAUCCUCUCACAGCUGCACCUCAAAUCCUUCUCCAACUCAUUUCUCUUAGGGUUUGAUAAUCAUGUCUAAUAAAAUACCAUAAUUUAAUUUUCUGUGCUACUAGAAAUAGAAGUGAAGGUGGUUAAUCAGGAAGUAGGAGAAGACAUGGGGUUGAAUCUGAACAAUCUUAGACUAGUGAAUCUCACAGUAUUGUUUUGUUGACUAGAGAUUCGCAAUAUCUUGUUUGAAGAAAUAUGAUACAGGAUUCGAAAGGGUCUUUGUCGAUUUUCAGAAAUGGAGAUUGAAGAAUAAUUAAUGCUGCAGAUGAUGAGAUUAUGGAGGUUGAUGACUUUGAAUCCCCUGAUUAAAGAUUAAAGAUUAAAUCUCUUACUUCUGAUGUGGAAGAAUUUUUCACGCAGUACAAUCCUGGAUUCAUCCGGUGUAUGGUUCAGAUCCAAACCAGUGGCAUGCUGCAAUAUGUACAGAUACAAUGGAGCUUAUGAAGCCUAUGGAUAUGUUUCAGAUGCUCAAGAUCCUAACACGUGUUCUUACCAAGGUAACAGUGGUCCUGGAUAAUCAACAUCACCAACAAGAGAAUCAGUGUUAAUUGGUUCUUGCUGUUGGGAGUGAGGAUGGCUACUUGAGAGUCUUCAAGUGGCCUAUCAUGGCACUUAUUAUUGAUAAAGCUGAUGCUCACCCAACUCUGAAGGAUCUGGAUUUCAGUCUUGAUGGGAGGUUCCUUGUCUCCUUGGGAGGUGGUCCAUGUCGGAUUUGGGAUGUAGAAACAACAACAAUUGUAGCUUCUUUACUGAGGGAAAAUGUGAGAAGAGAUCCGUGAAUGGUAAUUGCAGCCAGAUUCUUCACGUUACAAUAAUGAGAGGUAAAAUGUCACCGGAUGCAAAAGUUGUUUUUUUUAUCUUCACUCUGAUUUACUUGGCUGAUUAUUGUUGGUGUAGAUCGUGGAGGCAGUAUCGUGUCCUUUGACACAUCCUCAUGGACGAGAGUGUCAUCGAAGCACGUAGUGCCCGACCCUAUUUCUGCGUUCAGUGUAUCUCCUGACGGAGAACUCCUUGCUAUGUAAAAGUUUCAUUUUUUUUUACUGGUUGUCUUUAUCCUAAGGUGUCUUUAGUCUCAUAACCCUCUUUUUCGACCCCAGAUAGAAUUGUUGGAUGAAAAUAUUAUUUGUUCCUUUUAACACAAGGAUCUUGUCUAUAGCUUUGUGUCAUGUGCCUGUGUGCGAGAACUGAUAGGUGCCGACUGUAUUGCCUUUAUUCAGAGAAACUCUACUUCUGAUAGUUCAUUCAGUUACCCUAGUUUCCUGUCCUUAUGUAUCUGGUGUUUCUUCUAAUAAUACUUCACUGAAAUAUUUGUCUUAUUAAACCCAUGUCGUAUCUUUUGCAAACUAGGAUUAAAGUGUCUUCUCUUCUAUCAGAAAAUCGAAAGAAACUUACAUGAAAGUGUUGCAUUUUUAUGUUUUGCGUAUAUAUCUUAUUACCCAUGAUGGCUCUACAAUAUAUGGUCAACUGGAGCUCACUUCAGGGAUUGAGUUCAUUUAUUUAUGUUUUAAAGAUAUAAUUCUAUUUUAUCACUUGACAUUUAAUCUAAUCAGGAAUCUGAUUGGCCUUUUCUCCUUUUCAAAUUGGUAAACAUGCAGCGGAACAAUCCAAGGAGGUGUAUGGCUAUACAAAUCCAACAAUACACGAGUGACAUCAAUAAUUAAGAAAUCGCGCCUUGGUCUAGUUACUGCAUUGAAAUUAUCUGAAGAUUCUAGAUUGCUGGUCUCUGCAUCCAUGGACUCCAGUGUUAGGGUGACCAAAGUUUAAGAAGACACGACACUUGAGGGUAUGCUUUUUCUUUUAUUCUGGUUCAUCUAGGAUACCAAACUAGGUGAUCACCUCAUUGAAGAUUAUAUGAACUGAUGGAUAUAUUGUUGGAUCAAAUAUGAUAUCUUGUGCCAGCUUGCAGGCUGCAUCAAUCGGCGUGAGAGUUAUUCGUUUUAUUUAUUUAUCUAAUAUUUGGUUAUUUGCUUACGUACUAAUUAUACUUGUGUGUGUUCAACAGGAUUGAUGAUUCUGGUUUUUGUACUUCAAGGAUUAUGGUUUAUAAUUAUGAUUGCCAUAAUUUUUCUUCUGGCAUAUUACCAUUGGAAUGACAAACCCCUUCCUUUCGCUUAUUAGAAAGUUAACCCCUUCCCUCUGAAGUUGGUUUAAUAUCCAAUAUAGUGAGAGAUACAAUCUUCAAAUAGGUUACAUACAGAAUGUAGAUAGUCUUCGCUGUAAAAUUAUUAGAUUCAAACAUAUUUGAACGACCUUCAGAUAAUAUUGUUUCAGUGUCGCGCAAUACUCAAAUUCUUGCAUCAGCUAACUUCUAAGCUUUGACAGGUACACCGUAGCUGAGGAGGCAACAAGCUGUCGUUACAUGUCCAUGGAUUGGAUGAUGAGGAAUAAGGAUUAAAAUUGAGGUUCAAAGGUCUUGUAGCUGAUGGCAGUAGAUUACUACCUUCGAGACAAGCAGGGAGGGAUGUAUUAUACUUGACAAAGAUGGGUUCGCAGCAAAGGAACAAACACAUCUCUCUGAUAUUUGUGAGGCGGUUCAGCAGCUCAUUGUAAACUAGGGUAUUCAGACUUGCACUUGUGUUUAGAAAUUGUCUUUAAGAAACAUGUGAACCUAUCAGCUAAGACUUGUACUGGUGCAAAUUCAGGAUUUUUUUUUAUUAGGUUUUUCUGAUUUUGAAGCUAAGUGCAGGUUUCAUUUCAUGGAAAUUUUUCAAUUUGAACCUGUAUGAAUUGUAAAAUGAAUAUUGGUUCCUAAAUAAAUUGCCAUUUGAAUAUAUGAA
Long non-coding RNA from Papaver somniferum (opium poppy), 2854 nucleotides. RefSeq lists it as uncharacterized. The record is from RefSeq and is a predicted model, not a curated record. The transcript is spliced from 11 exons. Lineage: Eukaryota; Viridiplantae; Streptophyta; Magnoliopsida; Ranunculales; Papaveraceae.